GAUGAAGAACGUAGCGAAAUGCGAUAAGUAGUGUGAAUUGCAGAAUUCAGUGAAUCAUCGAAUCUUUGAACGCACAUUGCGCCCCUCGGUAUUCCGUGGGGCAUGCCUGUUCGAGCGUCAUUUACCCCUCAAGCACUGCUUGGUGUUGGGCGUCUGUCCCGCUUCGCGCGCGGACUCGCCCCAAAGGUAUUGGCAGCGGUCGUGCCAGCUUCUCGCGCAGCACAUUGCGCUUCUCGGGGCGGUCGAUCGGCGUCCACGAAGCUCACCUCCACCGUUUGACCUCGGAUCAGGUAGGGAUACCCGCUGAACUUAAGCAUAUCAAUAGCGGAGGA
Molecule: unclassified non-coding RNA, 332 nt
Filed under: soil metagenome
Description: partial contains 5.8S ribosomal RNA, internal transcribed spacer 2, and large subunit ribosomal RNA
Rfam family: 5.8S ribosomal RNA (bases 1-120)
Source: RNAcentral